Molecule: non-coding RNA, 26 nt
Filed under: Homo sapiens (human)
Lineage: Eukaryota; Metazoa; Chordata; Mammalia; Primates; Hominidae
Source: RNAcentral
UGGGCCAACUGUGGAAGCUGCUGCAC